UGCAAGUCGAGCGGUAGAGAGAAGCUUGCUUCUCUUGAGAGCGGCGGACGGGUGAGUAAUGCCUAGGAAUCUGCCUGGUAGUGGGGGAUAACGUUCGGAAACGGACGCUAAUACCGCAUACGUCCUACGGGAGAAAGCAGGGGACCUUCGGGCCUUGCGCUAUCAGAUGAGCCUAGGUCGGAUUAGCUAGUUGGUGAGGUAAUGGCUCACCAAGGCGACGAUCCGUAACUGGUCUGAGAGGAUGAUCAGUCACACUGGAACUGAGACACGGUCCAGACUCCUACGGGAGGCAGCAGUGGGGAAUAUUGGACAAUGGGCGAAAGCCUGAUCCAGCCAUGCCGCGUGUGUGAAGAAGGUCUUCGGAUUGUAAAGCACUUUAAGUUGGGAGGAAGGGCAGUUACCUAAUACGUGAUUGUUUUGACGUUACCGACAGAAUAAGCACCGGCUAACUCUGUGCCAGCAGCCGCGGUAAUACAGAGGGUGCAAGCGUUAAUCGGAAUUACUGGGCGUAAAGCGCGCGUAGGUGGUUAGUUAAGUUGGAUGUGAAAUCCCCGGGCUCAACCUGGGAACUGCAUUCAAAACUGACUGACUAGAGUAUGGUAGAGGGUGGUGGAAUUUCCUGUGUAGCGGUG
This 632-nucleotide ribosomal RNA is filed under the name Pseudomonas sp. WD4. RNAcentral describes it as "bacterial SSU rRNA". It matches the Rfam family "Bacterial small subunit ribosomal RNA", at positions 56 to 683 of the family's 1533-position model. The record is from RNAcentral. Lineage: Bacteria; Pseudomonadati; Pseudomonadota; Gammaproteobacteria; Pseudomonadales; Pseudomonadaceae.